AGUGAACGCUGGCGGUAGGCCUAACACAUGCAAGUCGAACGGCAGCACAGUAAGAGCUUGCUCUUACGGGUGGCGAGUGGCGGACGGGUGAGGAAUACAUCGGAAUCUACUUUUUCGUGGGGGAUAACGUAGGGAAACUUACGCUAAUACCGCAUACGACCUACGGGUGAAAGCAGGGGAUCUUCGGACCUUGCGCGAUUGAAUGAGCCGAUGUCGGAUUAGCUAGUUGGCGGGGUAAAGGCCCACCAAGGCGACGAUCCGUAGCUGGUCUGAGAGGAUGAUCAGCCACACUGGAACUGAGACACGGUCCAGACACCUACAGGAGGCAGCAGUGGGGAAUAUUGGACAAUGGGCGCAAGCCUGAUCCAGCCAUACCGCGUGGGUGAAGAAGGCCUUCGGGUUGUAAAGCCCUUUUGUUGGGAAAGAAAAGCAGCAGGUUAAUACCCCGCUGUUCUGACGGUACCCAAAGAAUAAGCACCGGCUAACUUCGUG
Molecule: ribosomal RNA, 492 nt
Filed under: uncultured bacterium
Lineage: Bacteria
Description: partial 16S ribosomal RNA
Rfam family: Bacterial small subunit ribosomal RNA
Source: RNAcentral